GAACGCUAGCGGCAGGCUUAACACAUGCAAGUCGAGGGGUAUGCCGAUUUAUCGGCAGAGACCGGCGCACGGGUGCGUAACGCGUAUGCAAUCUACCUUCACAGAGGGAUAGCCCAGAGAAAUUUGGAUUAAUACCUCAUAGUAUAGCAGUUUCGCAUGAAACCACUAUUAAAGUUCCAACGGUGAAAGAUGAGCAUGCGUCCCAUUAGCUAGAUGGUAAGGUAACGGCUUACCAUGGCUACGAUGGGUAGGGGUCCUGAGAGGGAGAUCCCCCACACUGGUACUGAGACACGGACCAGACUCCUACGGGAGGCAGCAGUGAGGAAUAUUGGUCAAUGGGCGCAAGCCUGAACCAGCCAUGCCGCGUGCAGGAAGACGGUCCUAUGGAUUGUAAACUGCUUUUAUACAGGAAGAAACCCUCCCACGUGUGGGAGCUUGACGGUACUGUAGGAAUAAGGAUCGGCUAACUCCGUG
This 474-nucleotide ribosomal RNA is filed under the name uncultured bacterium. Its description in RNAcentral is "bacterial SSU rRNA". It matches the Rfam family "Bacterial small subunit ribosomal RNA", at positions 31 to 507 of the family's 1533-position model. The record is from RNAcentral.